Molecule: long non-coding RNA, 1396 nt
Organism: Ornithorhynchus anatinus (platypus)
Lineage: Eukaryota; Metazoa; Chordata; Mammalia; Monotremata; Ornithorhynchidae
Exons: 3
Source: RefSeq, a predicted model, not a curated record
AAGCAGUUUACCCUCUGAGGCCCUCGCUGUCAGCUCAGCGCUCAAACAUCCGUGCCCUGCUGUCGGGCCUGACAGUCUUCAAUUGUUCAUUCUCUGAUUCCACCUCACCAGUUAAUGGAAGUGAAUCUUCUGAGGGGGAGAGAGACCGUCCCUAUUGAUCCAGAUAUAGAAAAAAAAUCUGUCAGCUCGGCCUUGGGAUACUAAAGACAAAUUUGACAGAUCAGGAUCUAUCAUGAAAAGUGUUAUGCAACCUACCUUGGAAAUGUAUAUUUAUAUGAAGAUUGAAUAACAAUGAGGAUCUCUUUCUCACUGUGUAACAACUGUGACUGUCAGAGUCAUGUCUAAGUGUCAAGGUAUAUAGGAGGAAUGGGGAAAGGAAAAAUGGAUUAAAAGAACAGCUUCAACAAAGAAGAAAAUGUAAUUAAGCAAUGUUCCAUCUUUUCUCAUUCCUCUUCCCCAAACGAGAUUAUUGCGAUAUGCACAACACCUGUGUGUCGUGACUCUUCUGUAUCUGGCUAAUCCAAAAGGUACCUGCCAUGGCACUGCCUAUGAUCAAUAACUAAUUAGGAAAAUAGCACUUCUUUCUAGGAUUCCUGGUCAAAAAAAUUGCUUUUGGCUGAGAGAGGAGGGAAAAGGUCACCACUUUGACAUCGUCGCAAGUCUUUGAAAAUCCAGUGGACCGUCCAAUUGAAUUACUGUCCCAAACUAAUUGAUAUAAAUUUGAACAGAAGAAUGCUUGUUACUGCAGAAUGUCAUAAUGAUAUCCUUGGCAAGAACACAUCAGUGAGAUGAAAAAAAAAACCAGGCACCAAUUACAAAUAUCCAAUCAUUGCUCUGGAAUCAGAGAUUAGAAACCAAACAAACAGGGAAAAUUCAUGCUCCAUUCCAUUGUCACAUUCAGGCAUGUAUAUUAAGAAUCAUAUUAUAGUCUUUCUUUCUUAUCUUACUUACAUAAAGGAAAAGAGUCUCUCUUUGAAACUAAUCAACUCCUGAUUAUAACUCAUGGAAGGAUUGAAUGGCUUCUACCAUAGAGCAUUACCUAAGGGCACUGUAUGCAAUAAUUGAUGGAUUCAGCAUUGGCCAACCAGUACAGAUGUUGCUAUCAGAAUGACACAACUUGGCAGUUUUUGCUUGUGAAAAGACCAGCAUGAAACACUGCAGGCAUGAAAAUUAAACCCUUUUGCCCCUUGAGAGGUAUCCAGUGAAGAGGCCAAUGACAGGAUAGCUAAUAGUACAGCCCCCUGCAUGAUAUUUUUCAUGUUAACACACUGCCUGAAAGAUAGGUUAGACUCUAAAAAUCAGCCAGUAUCACUGCUCUGCCAGAACAGGGUGUAGCACACUUAUGGUGACUCAAAGUGCAGCAUGUGACCAUCUUUUUGUGGAUACAAUUACAAUU